RNAcentral lists this ribosomal RNA (300 nucleotides) under uncultured bacterium. RNAcentral describes it as "bacterial SSU rRNA". It matches the Rfam family "Bacterial small subunit ribosomal RNA", at positions 1083 to 1382 of the family's 1533-position model. The record is from RNAcentral.
AGUCCCGCAACGAGCGCAACCCCUAUCCUUACUUGCCAGCGGGUAAUGCCGGGAACUUUAGGGAGACUGCCGGUGAUAAACCGGAGGAAGGUGGGGACGACGUCAAGUCAUCAUGGCCCUUACGAGUAGGGCUACACACGUGCUACAAUGGUCAGUACAGAGGGUUGCGAAGCCGCGAGGUGGAGCUAAUCCCAUAAAGCUGGUCGUAGUCCGGAUUGGAGUCUGCAACUCGACUCCAUGAAGUCGGAAUCGCUAGUAAUCGUGGAUCAGAAUGCCACGGUGAAUACGUUCCCGGGCCUU